UGGGGAAUUUUGGGCAAUGGGCGCAAGCCUGAUCCAGCCAUGCCGCGUGUCUGAAGAAGGCCUUCGGGUUGUAAAGGACUUUUGUCAGGGAAGAAAAGGCUGUUGCUAAUAUCAGCGGCUGAUGACGGUACCUGAAGAAUAAGCACCGGCUAACUACGUGCCAGCAGCCGCGGUAAUACGUAGGGUGCAAGCGUUAAUCGGAAUUACUGGGCGUAAAGCGAGCGCAGACGGUUACUUAAGCAGGAUGUGAAAUCCCCGGGCUCAACCUGGGAACUGCGUUCUGAACUGGGUGACUAGAGUGUGUCAGAGGGAGGUAGAAUUCCACGUGUAGCAGUGAAAUGCGUAGAGAUGUGGAGGAAUACCGAUGGCGAAGGCAGCCUCCUGGGAUAACACUGACGUUCAUGCUCGAAAGCGUGGGUAGCAAACAGGAUUAGAUACCCUGGUAGUCCACGCCCUAAACGAUGUCAAUUAGCUGUUGGGCAACUUGAUUGUUCAGUAGCGUAGCUAACGCGUGAAAUUGACCGCCUGGGGAGUACGGUCGCAAGAUUA
RNAcentral lists this ribosomal RNA (549 nucleotides) under uncultured bacterium. Its description in RNAcentral is "bacterial SSU rRNA". It matches the Rfam family "Bacterial small subunit ribosomal RNA", at positions 355 to 896 of the family's 1533-position model. The record is from RNAcentral.